RNAcentral lists this ribosomal RNA (1617 nucleotides) under Palpitomonas bilix. RNAcentral's name for it is "partial Bacterial large subunit ribosomal RNA". It matches the Rfam family "Bacterial large subunit ribosomal RNA", at positions 1273 to 2886 of the family's 2925-position model. The record is from RNAcentral.
CGGGAGUUAAAAGAAGUGAAAAUGCUGACAUGAGAAACGACAAGGCGGGUAAAAACCCCGCACGCCGGAAGACCAAGGGUUCCUGCGCAACGCUAAUCGGCGCAGGGUGAGUCGGCCCCUAAGGCGAGACCGAAAGGUGUAGUCGAUGGGAAACGGGUUAAUAUUCCCGUACCUUGGAUAGCUGCGAUGGAGAGACGGAGAAGGCUAGGUGAGCCGGGCGACGGUUGUCCCGGUUUAAGCGAGUAGGGAGUGGACUUAGGCAAAUCCGGGUCCACAAUCCCGAGACGUGACGACGACUGCUCAUAGAGCGGGAAGUCAUUGAUGCCAUGCUUCCAGGAAAAUCUUCUAAGCUUCAGGCUAUUCGAGACCGUACCCCAAACCGACACAGGUGGUCAGGUAGAGAAUACCAAGGCGCUUGAGAGAACUCGGGUAAAGGAACUAGGCAAAAUGGUGCCGUAACUUCGGGAGAAGGCACGCUGGCAGUAAGUGAAGCCCCUGCGGGUGGAGCUGAGACCAGUCGAAGAUACCAGGCCCCUGCGACUGUUUAUUAAAAACACAGCACUGUGCAAACACGAAAGUGGACGUAUACGGUGUGACGCCUGCCCGGUGCCGGAAGGUUAAUUGAUGGGGUUAGCGCUUGCGCGAAGCUCUUGAUCGAAGCCCCGGUAAACGGCGGCCGUAACAAUAACGGUCCUAAGGUAGCGAAAUUCCUUGUCGGGUAAGUUCCGACCUGCACGAAUGGCGUAACGACUUCCCCGCUGUCUCCAAUGCAGACUCAGCGAAAUUGAAUUGCCUGUUAAGAUGCAGGCUUCCCGCGGUUAGACGGAAAGACCCCGUGCACCUUUACUACAGCUUCACACUGGCAAUAGGUCAGACGUGUGCAGGAUAGGUGGUAGGCUUUGAAGCAGAGACGCCAGUCUUUGUGGAGCCUCCCUUGAGAUACCACCCCUGUUUGUCUUAUUGUCUAACCGCGGUCCGUUAUCCGGAUCCGGGACCCUGUGUGGCGGGUAGUUUGACUGGGGCGGUCGCCUCCUAAAGAGUAACGGAGGCGCGCGAUGGUGGGCUCAGACCGGUCGGAAAUCGGUCGUCGAGUGCAAUGGCAUAAGCCCGCCUGACUGCGAGUCUGACAAGACGAGCAGAGACGAAAGUCGGUCAUAGUGAUCCGGUGGUCCCGAGUGGAAGGGCCAUCGCUCAACGGAUAAAAGGUACGCCGGGGAUAACAGGCUGAUACUGCCCAAGAGUCCAUAUCGACGGCAGUGUUUGGCACCUCGAUGUCGGCUCAUCUCAUCCUGGGGCUGGAGCAGGUCCCAAGGGUACGGCUGUUCGCCGUUUAAAGAGGUACGUGAGCUGGGUUUAGAACGUCGUGAGACAGUUCGGUCCCUAUCUGCCGUGGGUGUAGGAGACUUGAUGGGAGUUGCCCCUAGUACGAGAGGACCGGGGUGAACGAUCCACUGGUGGAUCUGUUGUGGCGCCAGCCGCAGUGCAGAGUAGCUAUGAUCGGACAGGAUAACCGCUGAAGGCAUCUAAGCGGGAAGCCCCCCCAGAAACAAGGUCUCCCUUGAGGGCCGUGGAAGACCACCACGUCGAUAGGUUGGAGAUGUAAGUGCAGCAAUGCAU